This 1710-nucleotide long non-coding RNA is filed under the name Vigna radiata. RNAcentral describes it as "long non-coding RNA (VRAD_LNC017776)". Lineage: Eukaryota; Viridiplantae; Streptophyta; Magnoliopsida; Fabales; Fabaceae. The record is from RNAcentral.
AGCAAUUUGAAUCAGAGAUAUUUUUUAAAAAUUGAAAAAGUUUACUCUUUUAUAAUCAUUUUAUAUUUAUUAAUGUGUGUAAAAUGAAUAUAAACUUUGUCAUUUUAUGUUACUCUUCCCAAAUCUCAAAGGUAAAAAAUGAUUUNACUUUUGGAUGAUAAAUGAGAAAUUCUGCUGAAACUAAUUUUCCAGCCAGUUUCUCUGCACCGGAAGUCACACCCGUGCUUCUUUUUCCAUCACUGCAACUUCCUUCCUUGGGUGGAAGGCCGGCUGAGUUGUAAUCACCUCACCUAAAGCACUUCUUCCAUUCCAAACAGCCACUGCAUAACACCUUCUCCGCUGUUCGUUUCCAUUACUUCCGCUGCCAGAAAUUCCUUUCUCUUCCAAUGAAUCCGCUCACUACUCUGUUCUGCAUCUAACACCUGGACCGAAGCUAUCAUUUGGUAUUCAGAGCAAGGUUCGACUUGCAUCACGCUCUAGAUAAGUUCUACUGCAUUGAUCCGUUUUGUCAUCAAGUUCCUUGUGUGUGCUUUGUUUGUUUCACUGUUCCAUUGAUUUGUCUUACAUUCCAUAGAUUCCUUUGAGUUAUUUGAUUGAUCCAGCCUUGUUUUGCUUUGGUUUUUCUCAUUUUAAUCGGUUUAUAUUUCUGAUUUGAGUCUUUAUUUUUGAAAUCCUGAUUUUGUCUUGUUAAAAUCAUGUCAAUAUUUUCCAAUUUUGUCUAAAAAUUCCAUGUUUAACCAAGAAUGGAUAAAUCUGCAUAGUUGAUUGGAGGAAUUCAAUAAGAAGCCUAGUGCAUCUUGAAGCUCCUCAGCAAAGCAGUACCAAAGGUUAACAUAGUUUAACUAAUUCAGAGUUGAAUUCUGGUUUGCAUCUGGAAUAAAUUGUAUACGCACCAGUCUUUGAUCUGUUUUGUGCUUUUACUGUCAUAACUGUGUGCGGAUGAUUGUUGGAUAUGAUGCAAUGAGACGAAAUGCAUACCACCAAUUAUGUCUAAGACAUUCCAGUGGAAAGCAUUAUCAAGCAGAUUCCAAAUUCUGCACAUAGCAGUUUGAAUCGUACUCAGUGCUUUGUUGAGAGUAGUUUGCAAUUUUUUUUUAACCGGUCCUGCUUUAGUAAUCAUUUCUGAUCUCCUUCAUAAUUCUAUAGAGUUUUUUUUGUUCAGAUUAGUUGCUGCCUAGAAACAUUAUAUUGUGUUUCAUAUCAAUUUGAGCAUUAGAUAUGCACUCCCAUGUGUGUCUGGAUCGUUUCUUUUAUUGAAUUGAGCAACUGGUAGGGUCCAAAUUUGAAUUGGACAGUGGUAGUCUCUACUAGCCAUUUCAAUUUGAUAUAUUUGCUAAAUCAGACUUGCUCUAAGAGUCAAAAUACUGAUCUAAACACUUUUGAAUCCUGUGGUGAAAUUUGCAUAUUGUUUUGGUUAUGAUUUAGCUUGAAUUGGCAACUCAUAUAGUCAACAUUUGAUUCAUGAAUGAACUGAUCCAUUUGGAUAUUGAUAUAAGUCACAUUUGAUCAUUAAAAGUUGCUAGAAGUUUUCAAUUUGCCAAAUAACCUGGACUGCUAAAUAUAGCCAAUUCAGUUUCGUUGUGUCAGCCACAUUUCUGCUGAAAAAUAAGUUGCAUUGUUAUGUUACUUUUGAUGACUAAUUGUGCAUCCAUUGUGUAUGAAUUUUGGUAGCAAAAUGCNUGGUUUCAAUCAUUAAAAGAAAAGANNNNN